GCCAGCAGCCAUAUCACCCUGCAACUCACAACUGACAUCCCAAUGAAGCUAAGCAGGUGUGAGCCCAGUCAGUACCUAGAUGAGAGAACCCCUGGGAAAAAAACUAAGGUUGCUGCUGGAA
This 121-nucleotide ribosomal RNA is filed under the name Lepisosteus oculatus (spotted gar). The record is from RNAcentral. Lineage: Eukaryota; Metazoa; Chordata; Actinopteri; Semionotiformes; Lepisosteidae.